GAUGAAGAACGUAGUGAAAUGCGAUAAGUAGUGUGAAUUGCAGAAUUCAGUGAAUCAUCGAAUCUUUGAACGCACAUUGCGCCCCUUGGUAUUCCAUGGGGCAUGCCUGUUCGAGCGUCAUUUGUACCUUCAAGCUUUGCUUGGUGUUGGGUGUUUGUCCUGAGGGACUCGCCUUAAAGUGAUUGGCAGCCAGUGUUUGGUUUUGAAGCGCAGCACAAGUCGCGAUUCAAAGCUAUACGCCCGCUUCCACAAGCCUUUUUCACUUUUGACCUCGGAUCAGGUAGGGAUACCCGCUGAACUUAAGCAUAUCAUAAGCGGAGGA
Molecule: unclassified non-coding RNA, 322 nt
Filed under: soil metagenome
Description: partial contains 5.8S ribosomal RNA, internal transcribed spacer 2, and large subunit ribosomal RNA
Rfam family: 5.8S ribosomal RNA (bases 1-120)
Source: RNAcentral